Molecule: long non-coding RNA, 1254 nt
Organism: Dicentrarchus labrax (European seabass)
Lineage: Eukaryota; Metazoa; Chordata; Actinopteri; Moronidae
Exons: 2
Source: RefSeq, a predicted model, not a curated record
CUCAACGCGCUGGGGCUCCCUCCAGCUAUCAGCGUGGGCUUCCCCCUCCUUCUCCCUCCUCCUCCUCCUUCUCUUCUUCUCCCUCGCUGCAGCUCCGCCGUGGAGGGAAGAGAGAGAGAGAGAGAGAGAGAGAGAGAGAGAGAGAGAGAGAGAGAGAGAUCCCCUCUUCACAACUCUCCCCUGGAAGCCCCAGCUGCUGGCUAGUCUGCGCGGUUACACGGGCUGCCUGCCUGCGCACCGGAAUGGCGGCGUGUGGAUGUGGAGAUGGUCCAUUCUGCGCCAAAGCGGCCACCGGAACGAAAGGACUGGAUGGAGGACGGAAAGAGAGAAUGUGUGCGCGCACGGCUCGGCUCGUUUUCACACGAAAGUCGCGUAAGAAACGGUAAACAGCUCCGUGUUUUCGAGGAGAGAGGCAGCCAAAGGGGAAGGGGGAUGGGAAAGCUUGGAGAGCCACGGAAGCCCGAGAAGUGCGCUUUUAUUCGGUGCGUAAUGACACGACGCGUCUCUCCGAUGGCUGUACCGACGUGCUGUUGACUAGAAGGGGAGGGAGGGUGGAGGGAGGUAGGGGGGUGUUCAACGUGUGAGGCUAUACCGGCGAAUACCGGGGACGGUUUUAUAUCCAGAUACUACAACCGACACGGGAGCAGAGGCUACAGCCCCAUUGCGCGUAACACGACGCACAUGGCACGCCCCCCUCUGCCCCUCGCUCCCUCGCUCCCUCCUCCUCCUCCUCCUCCUUCUCCUCCUCCUCCUCCUCUUCUACACUGACAGGGAGGCGUUUGCUGCAGGGCGCCAUUUUCAAAAGCCUUCUUUGCAUAUGAGAUUUAUUUUGCUGCAGGAGGGUUGCAGCCGUCCUGCCGUCUCAUGUUACACAUUUAUCUGCACAAGAAGAAUAUGGACCGAAGAGGAAGAAAACAGUCAAACUGGACCAAACUUCAACGUGUCAUCUAUUCUUCCUUUAAGAUAAUUUUUUUGUUGCAAAGAAUCAGCUCAACUGGAACGCCUGGUGCUUUUCUCCGAGGUCUCAUCUGCUGACCUCUGACCAGCAGGAUCAGCUGGUUGUGUGUUAUGGGAAGCGACAGGGAGAGUCUCAAAGGAUGAGCCACAGCCUCCCCUACUGGCCACAUACCAAACCACACUCUGCUCCGAAAAAACGGGGGGACUGAGGUCUGAUCCAGAAUCAUCUGAGUCUGAUUAACUCAACCAAUUAAAGGAUCCAUUUGAUUAAAAGUCAGCAGAGGAGGUGAGAUUUGA